Molecule: ribosomal RNA, 440 nt
Filed under: uncultured bacterium
Lineage: Bacteria
Description: partial 16S ribosomal RNA
Rfam family: Bacterial small subunit ribosomal RNA
Source: RNAcentral
CCUACGGGCGGCAGCAGUGGGGGAUAUUGCACAAUGGGGGAAACCCUGAUGCAGCGACGCCGCGUGUGGGAAGACGGUCCUCUGGAUUGUAAACCACUGUCCCCAGGGACGAAGAUGACGGUACCUGGGGAGGAAGCUCCGGCUAACUACGGGCCAGCAGCCGCGGUAAUACGUAGGGCACGAGCGUUGUCCGGAGGUACUGGGGGUAAAGGGAUCGUAGGCGGGACUGCAAGUUGGGUGUCAAAUCUACCGGCUCAACCGGUAGCCGCACUCAAAACUGCAGUUCUUGAGUGAAGUAGAGGCAGGCGGAAUUCCUAGUGUAGCGGUGAAAUGCGUAGAUAUUAGGAAGAACACCAGUGGCGAAGGCGAUUCUCUGGACUGUAACUGACGCUGAGGCUCGAAAGCGUGGGGAGCAAACAGGAUUAGAUACCCGGGUAGUC